This is a long non-coding RNA of Magnolia sinica, 939 nucleotides long. RefSeq lists it as uncharacterized. The transcript is spliced from 4 exons. NCBI's taxonomy places the organism in Eukaryota, Viridiplantae, Streptophyta, Magnoliopsida, Magnoliales, Magnoliaceae. The record is from RefSeq and is a predicted model, not a curated record.
UUUCUUUUUUUUUUUAAUCGCUCGUUGGAUUUUCUGUUCGUAUUUUGUGCAGAACUCAUUAGUUCCUGGAAAUUUGGUUUGUUUUGAUUUCCAAAUCUUCCACUGAAUUGUCUGCUUGGGUUUGAUGGUGGCAGUUCAAGGUUAGUCAUGAAUUCCAAAGGCAAUGCUCUUUUAUUUCUUUCUCUUCUAUUGUUUUUCAAGGUUCUCUGCUCUUCUUUUGACAUUUCACUAGGUGCGAGGUUGUCGAGCUUUGGCCAAAUAAAAAAAGAAGCAAGAAUGUAUUUAGGAGUUUAUGUUUCUGCAUUGUGAGCGUAGGUUUUUGGUAAUUAAUUCUAUUGUGGCUUGCUUCUUUUGAUUUAUAAUUUUGACUGGAUAUCCUAAUGAAGUGUCUGCCUUUUCAUUUAUUAGGCAUUUUUGUUGGCUGUAUAAUUUAUAUUGGAGAAUCUACUUGUUUCUCUUCAUAGUGUAUCUUCUAACUUGUUCUAUUGGAUCCCUGACACGACAGCAGAACUCAUGUUUGAAAAAUACAAAGUCCCUGCAUUAUUUUUAGCCAAGAAUGCUGUUCUAACGUCUUUUGCAUCUGGUCGUGCUACCUCUUUGGUUGUUGAUAGUCCAUCGUUCCAGAGGUUUGCAGUGAUGACUUCCAAAACAAUAGAAGACAUUUCUAACUAGGCUCUAAAGAAAAGACGAGAAUUAACUGAGCAGUUGAAGGAUUUGUCUAGCAACAUUGAGGUAAAUUAGGACUGUCCCUUCCCAUUUUUGCCCUGAAGAAUGAUAUGUUACUUCCAAGACUAAGUUAAUGGUAUACUAUAUUUUUCAAUUUGUACAAGUGGGACUGUGCUUUAGUUACAUUGGAUUGAUGGAUCUUGGGACACAGAUGCAACAACCAAGUGGCUGUCCACCCUCCUAAUUGGGCAAACUGAGAAACUCUUAAGCACU